Transfer RNA from Camelus ferus (Wild Bactrian camel), 72 nucleotides. It matches the Rfam family "tRNA". Rfam says of the family: Transfer RNA (tRNA) molecules are approximately 80 nucleotides in length. The record is from Rfam. NCBI's taxonomy places the organism in Eukaryota, Metazoa, Chordata, Mammalia, Artiodactyla, Camelidae.
GAGGGUAUAGCUCCGUGGUAGAGUGCCUGCUUAGCAUGUGCCGGGCCCUGGGUUCAAUCCCCAGUGCCUCCA